AUCAUACUCCCUCCAUCCGAAAAUACUUGUUCUAGAAAUGGAUGUAUCUAUACUUAUUUUAGUUAUAGAUACAUCAAUCUUAUUCAUUUAUCGAACAAGUAUUUCCGGACGAAGCGAGUAAAUA
Molecule: microRNA precursor, 124 nt
Filed under: Hordeum vulgare
Lineage: Eukaryota; Viridiplantae; Streptophyta; Magnoliopsida; Poales; Poaceae
Description: microRNA MIR1122
Rfam family: MIR1120/MIR1122 microRNA precursor family
Source: RNAcentral